Small nuclear RNA from Pseudophryne corroboree (corroboree frog), 106 nucleotides. The record is from RefSeq and is a predicted model, not a curated record. Lineage: Eukaryota; Metazoa; Chordata; Amphibia; Anura; Myobatrachidae.
GUGAUAACAGGAAGCACAUAUGCUAAAAGUGGAAUGAUACAGAGAAGAAUUAACAUGGCCUCUGCGCAAGGAUGACACGCAAAUUCGUGAAGUGUUCCAUAUUUUU